UGGGGAAUAUUGCACAAUGGAGGGAACUCUGAUGCAGCGACGCCGCGUGAACGAAGAAGGCUUUCGUGUCGUAAAGUUCUUUUAUAUGGGAAGAUAAUGACGGUACCAUAAGAAGAAGCCCCGGCUAACUACGUGCCAGCAGCCGCGGUAAUACGUAGGGGGCUAGCGUUGUCCGGAAUCACUGGGCGUAAAGGGUUCGCAGGCGGAAAUGCAAGUCAGGUGUAAAAGGCAGUAGCUUAACUACUGUAAGCAUUUGAAACUGCAUAUCUUGAGAAGAGUAGAGGUAAGUGGAAUUUUUAGUGUAGCGGUGAAAUGCGUAGAUAUUAAAAAGAAUACCGGUGGCGAAGGCGACUUACUGGGCUCAUUCUGACGCUGAGGAACAAAAGCGUGGGUAGCAAACAGG
RNAcentral lists this ribosomal RNA (403 nucleotides) under bacterium. RNAcentral's name for it is "partial 16S ribosomal RNA". It matches the Rfam family "Bacterial small subunit ribosomal RNA", at positions 355 to 776 of the family's 1533-position model. The record is from RNAcentral.